GACAGCAGUAGCCGCGGUAAAACGGAGGAUCCAAGCGUUAUCCGGAUUUAUUGGGUUUAAAGGGUGCGUAGGCGGCCUGUUAAGUCAGGGGUGAAAGACGGUAGCUUAACUAUCGCAGUGCCCUUGAUACUGAUGGGCUUGAAUGAACUAGAGGUAGGCGGAAUGUGACAAGUAGCGGUGAAAUGCAUAGAUAUGUCACAGAACACCAAUUGCGAAGGCAGCUUACUAUGGUUUUAUUGACACUGAGGCACGAAAGCGUGGGGAUCAAACAGGAUUAGAUACCCGCGUAGUCCCUGUCUCUUAUAC
RNAcentral lists this ribosomal RNA (306 nucleotides) under uncultured bacterium. RNAcentral's name for it is "partial 16S ribosomal RNA". It matches the Rfam family "Bacterial small subunit ribosomal RNA", at positions 507 to 807 of the family's 1533-position model. The record is from RNAcentral.